GACGAACGCUGGCGGCGUGCUUAACACAUGCAAGUCGAACGGAAAGGCCCUGCUUUUGUGGGGUGCUCGAGUGGCGAACGGGUGAGUAACACGUGAGUAACCUGCCCUUGACUUUGGGAUAACUUCAGGAAACUGGGGCUAAUACCGGAUAGGAGCUCCUGCUGCAUGGUGGGGGUUGGAAAGUUUCGGCGGUUGGGGAUGGACUCGCGGCUUAUCAGCUUGUUGGUGGGGUAGUGGCUUACCAAGGCUUUGACGGGUAGCCGGCCUGAGAGGGUGACCGGCCAAAUUGGGACUGAGAUACGGCCCAGACUCCUACGGGAGGCAGCAGUGGGGAAUAUUGCACAAUGGGCGGAAGCCUGAUGCAGCAACGCCGCGUGCGGGAUGACGGCCUUCGGGUUGUAACCGCUUUCGCCUGUGACGAAGCGUGAGUGACGGUAAUGGGUAAAGAAGCACCGGCUAACUACGUG
Molecule: ribosomal RNA, 467 nt
Filed under: uncultured bacterium
Lineage: Bacteria
Description: partial 16S ribosomal RNA
Rfam family: Bacterial small subunit ribosomal RNA
Source: RNAcentral